This 670-nucleotide ribosomal RNA is filed under the name uncultured beta proteobacterium. Its description in RNAcentral is "bacterial SSU rRNA". It matches the Rfam family "Bacterial small subunit ribosomal RNA", at positions 29 to 695 of the family's 1533-position model. The record is from RNAcentral. Lineage: Bacteria; Pseudomonadati; Pseudomonadota; Betaproteobacteria.
AUAGACCUGGCGGCAUGCUUAACCAUGCAUGUCGAACGGCAGCACGGGAGCAAUCCUGGUUGGCGAGUGGCGAACGGGUGAGUAAUAUAUCGGAACGUGCCCAGUCGUGGGGGAUAACGCAGCGAAAGCUGUGCUAAUACCGCAUACGAUCUACGGAUGAAAGCGGGGGAUCGCAAGACCUCGCGCGAUUGGAGCGGCCGAUAUCAGAUUAGCUAGUUGGUGAGGUAAAGGCUCACCAAGGCGACGAUCUGUAGCUGGUCUGAGAGGACGACCAGCCACACUGGAACUGAGACACGGUCCAGACUCCUACGGGAGGCAGCAGUGGGGAAUUUUGGACAAUGGGCGCAAGCCUGAUCCAGCAAUGCCGCGUGCAGGAUGAAGGCCUUCGGGUUGUAAACUGCUUUUGUACGGAACGAAACGGUGAGCUCUAAUACAGUUUGCUAAUGACGGUACCGUAAGAAUAAGCACCGGCUAACUACGUGCCAGCAGCCGCGGUAAUACGUAGGGUGCGAGCGUUAAUCGGAAUUACUGGGCGUAAAGCGUGCGCAGGCGGUUAUGUAAGACAGAUGUGAAAUCCCCGGGCUCAACCUGGGACCUGCAUUUGUGACUGCAUAGCUAGAGUACGGUAGAGGGGGAUGGAAUUCCGCGUGUAGCAGUGAAAUGCGUAGAU